This is a non-coding RNA of Lonchura striata (white-rumped munia), 233 nucleotides long. Lineage: Eukaryota; Metazoa; Chordata; Aves; Passeriformes; Estrildidae. The record is from RefSeq and is a predicted model, not a curated record.
AAAUAUCAGCCAAAGUUUACUUGAAAACGAGCCUGGGUUUUGCUCAAAUAAGCUAAUGAACCUUUGUGAACUUCCAAGACUGGGCUGAAUUUCAACUUUGGAACAACACUUGAAGCCAGCUCUUCUGAACAUUGUGAGCUUCUCCAAUGCUUAGAGCUUCUCAAAACCAUCUCUUCAACAUUUUUCCAUUUUUUCCACAAUAGCUAUAAAAAAACAAAAGAUUCUCCUGGGAU